RNAcentral lists this long non-coding RNA (313 nucleotides) under Homo sapiens (human). RNAcentral's name for it is "HSALNT0252064". The record is from RNAcentral. Lineage: Eukaryota; Metazoa; Chordata; Mammalia; Primates; Hominidae.
CCAAGAUUUACACAGCACGUAAAUUGCAGAACUGGAAUUUGGAGGCAGGCACUCAAGCACUACAAUGCAUGCUCUUUAUAAUUUCACUCUAGCCAUUCAUGUGACAGUUUUUAAAACCAGGUCACUCUACCAUAUACAGAAGAAGUAUGCCUGUCCUAUUAGAUUAAAUCAACAUGCAUGCACCCCCUUGAGCAUACAUCUCAAGAAGCCUCUGAGAACACCAUGAGGAACGGCCCCUGACUUCAAGUGGCUUUGCAAACCCACAGUACAUGUGCUGCGGUUAUGUGACAGUUUAAACCUGUUUUCUCUUAAA